AUUGAACGCUGGCGGCAGGCCUAACACAUGCAAGUCGAGCGGAUGAAGGGAGCUUGCUCCUGGAUUCAGCGGCGGACGGGUGAGUAAUGCCUAGGAAUCUGCCUGGUAGUGGGGGAUAACGUCCGGAAACGGGCGCUAAUACCGCAUACGUCCUGAGGGAGAAAGUGGGGGAUCUUCGGACCUCACGCUAUCAGAUGAGCCUAGGUCGGAUUAGCUAGUUGGUGGGGUAAAGGCCUACCAAGGCGACGAUCCGUAACUGGUCUGAGAGGAUGAUCAGUCACACUGGAACUGAGACACGGUCCAGACUCCUACGGGAGGCAGCAGUGGGGAAUAUUGGACAAUGGGCGAAAGCCUGAUCCAGCCAUGCCGCGUGUGUGAAGAAGGUCUUCGGAUUGUAAAGCACUUUAAGUUGUGAGGAAGGGCAGUAAGUUAAUACCUUGCUGUUUUGACGUUACCAACAGAAUAAGCACCGGCUAACUUCGUG
RNAcentral lists this ribosomal RNA (484 nucleotides) under uncultured bacterium. RNAcentral describes it as "partial 16S ribosomal RNA". It matches the Rfam family "Bacterial small subunit ribosomal RNA", at positions 30 to 507 of the family's 1533-position model. The record is from RNAcentral.